CCUCUCCACAGUCCCUGAACACACUGACUCUAACCAUGGAAUGGAGCUGGAUCUUUCUCUUCCUCCUGUCAGUAACUGCAGGUGUCGACUCUCAGGUCCAACUGCAACAGUCUGGAGCUGAGCUAGUGAGGCCUGGGUUAUCAGUGGAGAUGUCCUGCAAGGCUUCUGGCUACACCUUCACCAACUCCUAUGUGGGUUGGGUAAAGCAGAGAUCUGGACAGGGUCUGGAAUGGAUUGGACAUGUUCUUCCUGGAAGUAGUUAUAUUUUCUACAAUGAGAAGUUCAAGGGCAUGGCCACCAUGACUGCAGACACAUCUUCCAACACAGCCUACUUACAGUUCACCAGCCUGACAUCUGAGGACUCUGCGAUCUAUUACUGUGCAAGACACAGUGCUGUAACCACAUCCUGA
Grammomys surdaster is the source of this 410-nucleotide non-coding RNA. The record is from the annotation of a RefSeq genome assembly. Lineage: Eukaryota; Metazoa; Chordata; Mammalia; Rodentia; Muridae.